RNAcentral lists this ribosomal RNA (733 nucleotides) under Halomonas sp. AH17. RNAcentral describes it as "bacterial SSU rRNA". It matches the Rfam family "Bacterial small subunit ribosomal RNA", at positions 90 to 819 of the family's 1533-position model. The record is from RNAcentral. Lineage: Bacteria; Pseudomonadati; Pseudomonadota; Gammaproteobacteria; Oceanospirillales; Halomonadaceae.
GUCGAGCGGCGGACGGGUGAGUAAUGCAUAGGAAUCUGCCCGGUAGUGGGGGAUAACUUGAGGAAACUCAAGCUAAUACCGCAUACGCCCUACGGGGGAAAGCAGGGGCUCUUCGGACCUUGCGCUAUCGGAUGAGCUUAUGUCGGAUUAGCUGGUUGGUGAGGUAACGGCUCACCAAGGCGACGAUCCGUAGCUGGUCUGAGAGGAUGAUCAGCCACAUCGGGACUGAGACACGGCCCGAACUCCUACGGGAGGCAGCAGUGGGGAAUAUUGGACAAUGGGGGCAACCCUGAUCCAGCCAUGCCGCGUGUGUGAAGAAGGCCCUCGGGUUGUAAAGCACUUUCAGCGAGGAAGAAUGCUUGUCGGUUAAUACCCGGCAAGGGAGACAUCACUCGCAGAAGAAGCACCGGCUAACUCCGUGCCAGCAGCCGCGGUAAUACGGAGGGUGCGAGCGUUAAUCGGAAUUACUGGGCGUAAAGCGUGCGUAGGCGGCUUGAUAAGCCGGUUGUGAAAGCCCCGGGCUCAACCUGGGAACGGCAUCCGGAACUGUUAGGCUAGAGUGCAGGAGAGGAAGGUAGAAUUCCCGGUGUAGCGGUGAAAUGCGUAGAGAUCGGGAGGAAUACCAGUGGCGAAGGCGGCCUUCUGGACUGACACUGACGCUGAGGUACGAAAGCGUGGGUAGCAAACAGGAUUAGAUACCCUGGUAGUCCACGCCGUAAACGAUGUCGACUAG